CAAUAGCGUAUAUUUAAGUUGCUGCAGUUAAAAAGCUCGUAGUUGGAUUUCGGGUGGGAAUGGCCGGUCCGCCGUUUCGGUGUGCACUUGCUACGCCCACGUUGCUGCCGGGGACGUGCUCUUGAGUUCACGCUCGGGACACGGAGUCGGCGAGGUUACUUUGAGUAAAUUAGAGUGUUCAAAGCAGGCCUACGCUCUGAAUACAUUAGCAUGGAAUAACACGAUAGGACUCUGGCCUAUCUUGUUGGUCUGUAGGACCGGAGUAAUGAUUAAGAGGGACAGUCGGGGGCAUUCGUAUUUCAUUGUCAGAGGUGAAAUUCUUGGAUUUAUGAAAGACGAACUACUGCGAAAGCAUUUGCCAAGGAUGUUUUCAUUAA
RNAcentral lists this ribosomal RNA (377 nucleotides) under uncultured eukaryote. RNAcentral's name for it is "partial 18S ribosomal RNA". It matches the Rfam family "Eukaryotic small subunit ribosomal RNA", at positions 592 to 976 of the family's 1831-position model. The record is from RNAcentral.